This is a long non-coding RNA of Micropterus dolomieu (smallmouth bass), 633 nucleotides long. RefSeq lists it as uncharacterized. The record is from RefSeq and is a predicted model, not a curated record. The transcript is spliced from 3 exons. NCBI's taxonomy places the organism in Eukaryota, Metazoa, Chordata, Actinopteri, Centrarchiformes, Centrarchidae.
GCUAAAUGUGAUUUCCUUGUUCGUAACAUUUCACUGCUAAGAGAUUUUUUCACAUUACCCGAUGCACCGCAGUCUGCGCAAGUGUCAUUUCCAGGGAUUUGCAGGAUCUCCUUCAGUGCACGCGUUGCUCUCUCAUUUGCUGACAUUUCAGUGUUCAGGUCGGAUAGUCCUGCGCUUUCAGUGAGAGAGAAGGUGGAGCAGGGGGGGCCACAAAAGAUAAGUAAGGUGUGUCUCCUCGAGCUCAACUGCUACCUAACGGGCCUGGGCGAGUUUGCACAGAUAGCCAGUGUUGAUACCCUUCAGGUGGUCUGUGAGGCGCGUCCUGCCGAAGUCUGGAGCCAAAUCAACGCCACAGCCCCCCAGUGCUCUGUGCUCGGGAAGGUGCGUGAACGGCAGUGAAACUCUACACGAGGAAGUGAAGUGGAGAGGCUGUUCAGACUUGCUUUUCCGCAUAAUUCGAGCUGUCAUUUCAGUGCAAAAUUGCUCCACUCCAUUCACCUCCAGUUCAUCACAUCCAGGCUCAGGUCGAGCUUAUCAGAAGUCCUCACACCACAAAUGUUCAGUUUUCUCUUCAUGCCAUCACCACCACCACCUGUGUCUCGACUCCAUUGGGGUUUUCUAAACCACUUAAGA